UCGGUCCCUCGCAAUCAGUCGCUUCACUCGCCCUUGCUUCCUUCGCCGAACCCUCCCUUCCUUCGUGCUCGUUCUGGUUCCUCCCAACCCUUGCAAUCGCCGGCGACGCCUAAACCAUUUUUGAUCCGAUCUCUGCCUUAGUCCCCUCAGCGAUCCCUCGUCGAAACAGUCUCCACCUUAGUUCUUUCUCUGCCUAAACCCUUGUCGCUUCCAGUACAUUAAAAAAAAAUUCUCCGCCUAAACCCUUGUCGCUUCCAGUACAUAAUAAAAAAAUUUCGACCCCUCAGUCCCCUUUUCCUCUCUGUAAUCUGUAAUUUUUUUUGGGUACUUUUGCUUUUCUAUUUAAUUCUGGAGGUUUUUUUUGGGAAUUGUGCAGAUUAUUGUGUUGUCCAAGUUUUUUUUUUAUUGAGAUGUUAUUAUGUUGUCCAAAUUAUUGUGCUGUAUAGAUAUUUGUACAGAUUUGUUUUGCUGUCCAAGUUUUUUUAUUGAGGUGUUAUGUAGUUUGUUUGAACAUGCUAUUGCUAAGGGACUAACAUUUCGCACGUGUUAGCAUUUUAGCAGUUUGCCUUAAUCGAACAAAUUGCUAUUCCAUUCAAACAUAGAUUGAUUAAUAAAUUAAUUUUUGUUCAAUCUCGUAGUGUCUCGAGAAUAGUUAGAUUCUUCAAAGUCGUCACAACGGACACGGAAUCAAACACGGCCGAAUCACCAUUUUCAAAUUUCAUCAGGGCCCAUCAUCCUCUAUCCUUUUGAAAUAAGGAAUUGGAUUUUGAGCAUAAUGAUGAUUUUAAUGUGAAAAGACCAAAGAUGAAGAAGAAAACUCACUCAAGUCAUUUGUCAUGCCUCAUGAUGCUUUUGAAUGAUUAUUAUUGAACUAGGAAUGUAAUGUAAUAGGCC
Molecule: non-coding RNA, 894 nt
Organism: Benincasa hispida (wax gourd)
Lineage: Eukaryota; Viridiplantae; Streptophyta; Magnoliopsida; Cucurbitales; Cucurbitaceae
Source: RefSeq, a predicted model, not a curated record